RNAcentral lists this transfer RNA (77 nucleotides) under Mycoplasmataceae bacterium. Its description in RNAcentral is "tRNA-Arg". It matches the Rfam family "tRNA". Rfam says of the family: Transfer RNA (tRNA) molecules are approximately 80 nucleotides in length. Their secondary structure includes four short double-helical elements and three loops (D, anti-codon, and T loops). The record is from RNAcentral. Lineage: Bacteria; Bacillati; Mycoplasmatota; Mollicutes; Mycoplasmatales; Mycoplasmataceae.
GCGCUUGUAGCUCAGCUGGAUAGAGCACAUGCCUUCUAAGCCUGUGGUCAGGAGUUCGAAUCUCUUCAAGCGCGCCA